Molecule: long non-coding RNA, 204 nt
Filed under: Dermacentor andersoni
Lineage: Eukaryota; Metazoa; Arthropoda; Arachnida; Ixodida; Ixodidae
Description: uncharacterized LOC126523598
Source: RNAcentral
UUGUGGGACAAGAUACAACCCACAGGGUGUAAACUUUUUAAGAGAGCAGAGGUCUGAAUUUUAAUUUUGUUUCUUGAGAGUUAAGCUCACUUUUGUUGGUUUUUAUUAAGACUUAGUUAUGGAGCUUUCUUUUUUUUUAUGCAUUUUGUACAUGCAAAAGGUUGCCUGUGUCAUUCAGUGACUAAUUACAUGACUGUCAUUGAU